GAUGAACGCUAGCUACAGGCUUAACACAUGCAAGUCGAGGGGCAGCGGUAUCGAAAGCUUGCUUUCGGUAGCCGGCGACCGGCGCACGGGUGAGUAACGCGUAUCGAACCUGCCUCAUACUCGGGAAUAGCCUUGCGAAAGUAAGAUUAAUGCCCGGUGUUUUCAGAGUCCCGCAUGAGGCUUUGAACAAAGAUUUAUCGGUAUGAGAUGGCGAUGCGUCCCAUUAGCUUGUUGGCGGGGUAACGGCCCACCAAGGCGUCGAUGGGUAGGGGUUCUGAGAGGAAGGUCCCCCACAUUGGAGCUGAGACACGGUCCAAACUCCUACGGGAGGGAGCGGUGAGGAAUAUUGGUCAAUGGGCGGAAGCCUGAACCAGGCAAGUAGCGUGCAGGAAGACGGCCCUCCGGGUUGUAAACUGCUUUUAGUUGGGAAUAAAACGGGGCUCGUGAGCCCCCUUGCAUGUACCAUCAGAAAAAGGACCGGCUAAUUCCGUGCCAGCCGCCGCCGUAA
This 508-nucleotide ribosomal RNA is filed under the name uncultured bacterium. RNAcentral's name for it is "partial 16S ribosomal RNA". It matches the Rfam family "Bacterial small subunit ribosomal RNA", at positions 28 to 523 of the family's 1533-position model. The record is from RNAcentral.